Oryza meridionalis is the source of this 204-nucleotide non-coding RNA. NCBI's taxonomy places the organism in Eukaryota, Viridiplantae, Streptophyta, Magnoliopsida, Poales, Poaceae. The record is from Rfam.
NNNNNNNNAGACCGUGGAUUCCCGUGCCAACGUUUGACUGUCCGUCUUAUAUGAAAUAUUUUUAUAAUUAGUAUUUUCAUUGUUGUUAGAUGAUAAAACAUGAUUAAUACUUUAUGCGUGACUGAUCUUUUUAUUUUUUUCAUAAUUUUUUUAAAUAAGACGGACGGUCAAAUGUUGGACACGAAAACCAGGGUUUAUCUUUUU